CUGUGAGCACUCCAUGUUCCAGUAUAGCCAGUGGGUUUGAUGAUGGGGCAUGAAAGUCAUCAUCUCUCUUUUCCUUUCUAGGAAUCGUCCCCAAGCAAUAAGAAGAACAGAAAAGCAAAAAUGUGAAGUCCAUUUUCAUUAAAACUGGGUGACAGCAAAAACCCAAACUUCAAAAUAUAAGAAAAGGCUGCCAAAGGUAGUGGAAAUUGAACAGAGUGCAGGAGGGAGCAGAGAGAGAAUUCCAGAAGGAGAGGAUCCCACAGCCAUCUCUGCCGACUUAGGAGAAGGAAAGGCUACGCAGAUACCCACAGAAAACCCCAGAUCGUGUGGGAAAUGCCAGAUAGCUUGCAAUGUGGCCCUGGCCCCUCCCCAGCACAAACCUACCAGAAACUACUGGCCCAGGGAAGACUCAACUCCUGUCAAGGAACAAGCACAAAAUCUGUACAAAUACACUGUAAAGAUAGAAGAAAGGAAGUAAUAUGAAAAACUAAUGGAAGGUAGAAAGAACAUUCACUGGAAAAAUGUUACCACAAAACAAAGAGAUAUCACCAAACAUUUCAUCAUGAAUUUAAGUAAAAUCACGAAACAAUUUCUUCUAUGAAGCAAGGGCAUUAUCACUAAUGCUAAGUGAUAAGAGCUCAGGAAGAAGACAACAACAGGAAGAGGCCAAUGUGACCUGCAGAGCUCAGGGAAGAAGUGAGAGAAAAAUCAGAGAAAUCAAGAUAAAACUGGCACAAAAAUUAAGAGACAGUGUCUCUUUCACUCUUUCAUCAAUAUGGAAACACAGGAAGGGACACAUAGGAUGGCAAUGAGAAGAGCAAAAAAAAAAAAAAAAAAAAAAGAAGAAGAAGAAGAAGAAGAGGAAGAAGAAAAAGAAGAAAAGGAAGGAAGGAUGGAAAGAAAGAAAGAAAUUUUAAUUAAAGAGAAUAUAAUCUGUACAUGUAUACGUAAAUAGUUCAUAUCUAUAUGAAAUGUGCACAUAUGGAAUUCCUGAAAAAAAAAAUAAUAAUGGAACAAAACAAAUAUCGAAGGAUAUAACACAAGAAAACUUCCUUGAACGGUAAAAUAUGAAUGCACGUAUUAAAACAGUAUGCUGUGUCCCAAGAAAAAAAAAAAAAAAAACUGCCCUGACAGCACCAAUACAUCCUGGUAAAGUUACUAGAUUUCAAAGGUAAAGAAGGAUACUUUGGGGAAAAAAGAUACUUUCAUAGGGAACUAUCAAGCUGGCCUCAGACUUGAGCCAUCUCCAACUCUAGACAGCAUGUAAGACCAAAUAUGUCCAACUUUGCAGGAUGGAUGUGCAGGGGGGGAAAGAACGGUGGCCUUACUGCAGGAAGCCUGGGGACAGUCUGGCUCUCUCGCUAUUCACGCACACUGAGCAGGCAGCUAUGGUAUUGUGAAAAUGACAAGGUUUUUGGAAUCAGACAGACGGAGCCAAUCCUGGCUCCACUGCUCCUCGCUCAGUGAUCUAUGGUCAUAUGACACCUUUGCACCUUAGUUCCCACCUCUGUAAAACGGGGGUAGGAAUUCCUUCCUCUGUGUAUUAAAUGAAAUCAUAUGAAUGAAUUGGGCCAGGUGCAAUUACCACUUAUUUUUAAUCUUUAAAGUCAUCACCUUGUUCCUGAGCUGUCCCCACCCCCCCCCCAAAACCCUUAGGACACUGGGGUAUUGAAGGAGGUCUGUCACAAAGAAUACCGUGGCUGCCUGUGGGAUCCUCCCCGACAUGAACUGGAAGAGGGUCUGCAGUGGGUCAUUGGACGCCAGCGUGCUGGUAAAGCUGCAGAGAGAGAUGACCGUUAGUGGGGACCAAGCCGAGAGAGCCUUUGACCCAUUGCCAGCGGGGCAAACCCCCCGUAGUUCUCUAUUUGACUUCAGCAGCUUCUUUCGGAACAUGAACUUCUCUUUGCUUUUCUGCCGUGCCUCUGCUUGGCUCCCACUUUGGGGGGAUCGGCAGGAUCUUCAUUCCACCACAGAUGGGGCUCUCUGUUGGGGGGUGUUUUCUGCACUUUGGCACUGAUGCCCCAACUCUCCAGUAACCAUUUCUAUAGGUCUUCUUUGUCACGGAAAUGCUGCACAUCUCAGAGAUCCCUAGAGAGCCCCAGCAGUUAACCCAAACAUCUUCUCUGCAGGCCCCUCCUACCCAGUCACCCUCAACUUCUAGUCCCCUGAAGCAGUUCCCCUUGUGCCACACCCACAGCCUCCAGGGCUGGUUUUCUGGCUCGUGACUAGCCUGGGUCUUUUACUCACAUGCACUAAAUAGCCAUUUUCAGUAACCAAAGAGGCGUAGAACAGGGACCAGAAAUGAUCUUCCUGAUGACAAACCGUGGGAUAUGCUUAACAAGGAUAUAAUAAGCUCUAGAGCUGAUUUGAGAUUUAAGCAUACUCAGUAAGAGAUAUUUUUCACAAUUCACCGGGCCCCAUCAAAAAUCAAUGGCCCAAGGCAAAAAUCUGUCGCGGAGAUGUAUGCUACAAUGUGGGAUUGUGGGAUGUUCAUUUCCAAAGCCCAGAGGAAAAUCGUCCCUCAGAACAGGCUUUAUAGGACGGGGGAAGAACGCGGUCUUUUAUUUAAUAGCACCCUUGCCGCGGGAGCUCAGAGCGCUUAUCAUAAUAAAACUCCAGGGUUCCUCACCAUCCUGAACAUAAUGAAGUGCACAGAGGUGUUACCAGUCCCUGGGAAGACUGAGGGUUAGAGUAGAAGAGAGACUCCACGGAGGCCGUGGUGGAGAAGGGUAGUGUGGCAGCCUUGAAGGGAGGUACCAUCGUCUCAGCCAUCUGCCCGACAGCCAAUUUAUGGCCAAUUUAAACUUAAGUCAAGCUGAGAGGUUCACAGCUUCACAGCUUCGACUAACACAGGAAGAGAACAUUUUGAGGGAACAUCCUUCUCACGGUCUGAUCCAAGCCUGCCCCUUAUGGGAGGGCCCCCCGGCCCUCCCCACCCCUAACACAUGUCUAUCCCUGCCAACCCACAGAUCUGGCUGCAGCUGGAGGGGCUUACUCAGGAACCCUUCUCCAGCACCCCUACCCCACCCCCCCAUUUAAUUCCCCUUAUUCCAAACUCCUGGCUAUGUGGUCAGCCUCCAUUCCUGUCUCAUCCUGGUUUGGGCAUUCUUCCCGGUCUCAGUGUGCUGGCAUGAUCUCUGACUAAACACAUUCCUUCAGUCUCGUCAUGUCCCCUGCCCUAGAUGAAGACUUCUGCUUGUAAUCCCCUGUCCUAUAAAGCCUGUUCCUAGCACAGCUCCUGCUCCCCCAUAUCCCGACCUUCCUCUCAGCGCCCACAUCCCCCACUGCAAGACUCAGUGGUAGACAGCUACUAACUCUCAGACCCAAAGCUCUGUCAGUUAACCCUAAGUGGUCACCUAUUCCCUCACUGAUGGAACUAUCUAGAACAGCCCCUCCCAAAGAGAACUACCGGAUUGCAGAAACCCAUGCAAUUUUUGGAAACUCAGACCCUGAGAAAUAUUACUAAACUGAAUAUUUAACACAGCAGGUAGAAAGAAUGUGUCCAUGUCUAGGUUGUAAGAAUCUGGAGAAGCGAUAUGCUAGGUCCAGGUCAGAAGAGAAAAACUGGAAGGAUGCUUGGUGCAUGGGGCUUCCCAGCACAUCCUGCAUUUGCCUCCCAACACUCCCUCCCUCGGCGGGCCUCUCUCUGCUCUCUGCUCCUUAGGUCUUCUUUGCCAGUGGCCUGCUCACCCACUCAUAACCCAGCUGUAGGUCCUUGGGUCCAUCUUGCUGGCGAGGAACAAAGCGUGGCCCCACAAGUGGUUCUUCAUGGCCCACUCCAAGGCUUCCUGAAAACAAAAGCACGUCACGGUCAGCAUGGCCCUAUUCACCUUCCCACAAACAACAACAAAUGUCGAUGGUUGGGUACUGCUGCCCUUGAGCUGUACAAGCUGGGCUCCCAGGAAGGCUCGGAGCCUCAUCUGUGAGAGGGACAAAGGAAGACCGGGUGCCUAUUUCUCUCUAAGAUGUCCCUUCUCCAGCCUUCACUUUAUCAAAUACAUUCUGCUAUUUCAUCAUCUGCCCCUCAAACGUAGCUUCCAGUCAGCCUUAUCUCUUUAGCAGAAGUCACAUGAUACUUUUACGAACCUAAGCACCGAACACGAGAGAGGCACCGCACCCCAAGGACUGAGUCUCAAAGUACAGGUAGCAAGAUGACAUUCAUGGGGGCGCGCCCCAGGAACGGUUUCUUUUUUAACAGCUGUGGCAGAGACUGUUAGCUCCCCACCAAAAGCCAUUGUCCCCUUCCUGGGCAAAGAAAUGCACCCCAUUUUCCUGCCUCCUAUGCACCUAGAAGUGACUGAGUUCCGGGCUCUACAAUGGCAACAGAAAUGGUUAUAUUGCGUUCAGAUCUGGUGCAUAGAAGUCCUGUGCCCGGUCCCCAUGCCCUUUUCCCCAUCUGGCUGGCUGGAAUGAAGAUGGCUUCUCAUUCCAUAUAGACUAUAUGCUCAGGUGGUACAGCCUCCUACAUGCCUUGAACCACUCCGGGAAGAAGGGCUGACCCACCGUUCUGCUCACCUGCCCAGGAUGCCCACAUGAAGAGAAAGUAGCUGCCACCAUGUUUGAGCCAGUUUGCAUAGCAGUCGACCUGCCCCACCUAAUAUUAUAACUAAUUGCUUGUUAACUAUC
Neofelis nebulosa (Clouded leopard) is the source of this 4626-nucleotide long non-coding RNA. RefSeq lists it as uncharacterized. The record is from RefSeq and is a predicted model, not a curated record. Lineage: Eukaryota; Metazoa; Chordata; Mammalia; Carnivora; Felidae. The transcript is spliced from 2 exons.